GGUUGUUCAGAUUUUGUUCAAGCCGUUUUACAGGGGUGUUGAGGUCAUUUCUUGCACUUAAUCGUCCAAAACGACUCAGAAAGGGUAUUCUACAAAGUAACUUGACGUCAUCCGGCAAAUCACCGCGGUUUCCAGUCACGCGCACUGACAUGCGCAUUCCUGGCAGGUUACUAAAUGCUAAGGGCCGUUUUCGGCGUUUGAAUGUCGCGAAGUUGGAACGUUUGCUACCGCGGUAACGUUCCACUCGCGAAAUACUGCGUGAACCAUGUUGUUAUUUUGAAUAAUAUACUAAUAUUUAAGCACAUUAUCCUGUUCCAUCAUGUUUUGUUUUAACCCUAUGCAAAUGGAAGCGUGAAUCCGCUCAGCCACCAGCUGGGAUUUCAAGUCAGUCCUGUAAAUGCAGUUGGAUGGUAAAAGUCCUGUCCUGUUUCUGUCUCAGACCCGCCCUAACAGACGAGGAAGGAGUUAUCCAGUUUAAUAGCCAUUGGAAGAGAAGAUCCCAUGUAGGAACAUUUGACAGUGAUCAGUCUCUAGCUGAAGGUGCUUCCAGCAAGUCCUCCAACCUAUAUGACCCACAUGGUCGUCAGUGACGUGCGGGCUGCAGUUCACAUGAGCCCAUUCAGCUGACACGGAAGAGGAAGGCAGAAGAUUAAGUGUCCCAAAAGUGUUGGCAUCACUGCUUCUCCUAAAAUGUUCACGAGAGUCCUAAUGAUGUGCACUCUUUCUUCGUCUCUCCGGUUUUCUUCAGGAAGGGGAUAAAAUUUGCGCCCUGCCUGAAGAUGACUCUCAAGCAGCAGGUGAUGGUGCCAGGGCCAGCUGCUCCGGCCCCACCUCUGCUCAGCUGUCCGAGUCCAGACCAGCCUUUGAACAGCCUAUUACCCCGACACAGCACCGGGGGAAAGCAAUCAGCUCCAGAGGUGUUUUUGUGAACCUUUGCUCAGCAGGGUGGCCCGGUGGUGCGCCUCUGUGGAAGAAACAAGAGGCAGAUACAUUCAGUGUGGCAGUCUGUCAACACCGCACAGCAGAGAUCAGAACAGAACAGGCUUUACAGUAAAAACCCAAAGGAAGGUGGGCCAACACACAAUGAUGAAGGCUCCAAACUGACCGCCCUGCAAUGUGAAAGAUUGUGUUUCUUUUGCGAGAUUUUGUUACCUAAUGGCUUGUCGGGAAGCUGUAGGGACGGUGUAAUGGACCAUGUAAUGGAUAAAGGAUUGUAUUGAUGGACAUGUGUUGACUUAACUAUAUUGAUCUGGAGAACUUAUAUUGAUAAAUGCAAAAAUAUUUUUGCAGUGAAACACUAAUGCACUUUUUGUGAUUUAUAGCUGAGAGCUUUUACAUCACCCUA
Long non-coding RNA from Monopterus albus (swamp eel), 1345 nucleotides. RefSeq lists it as uncharacterized. The transcript has 7 exons. NCBI's taxonomy places the organism in Eukaryota, Metazoa, Chordata, Actinopteri, Synbranchiformes, Synbranchidae. The record is from RefSeq and is a predicted model, not a curated record.